UUUUCUUUUUCUUUUCGGGAAAAAAUUGGCUUUAAUUUCAAAACAAAUCGUUAUUUUUAGGGUUUUGUUUUUAUUUGUGUUUUUUGUUCUAUCAGUUCAUUAUUUUGUACCAUUGCUUCAGGAUUUCUCAUAAUAAUGGUUAUUAUAUAAGGGUUUGUUGUAUUUGGUUUAAAAAUUGGAUUUUUACUGUUGUGAACCAUUAAGGUUUGGUUUUUCUGGGUUAAUAUGUGUAGAAAUUUGUAUAUCUGGGUUUGAGUUUUGUUUUGGCUUCAAGUAAUGUUUGUUUGGGGCCUAUAUUUGAAUGAUGGUGUAGUUUUAUUUUGUAUAGUGGGUUUGUUUUUGUUUUGAGAAAUUGAGUAGAAGGACCCAUAUCAACAUCAAGUUCGUCUCUUUGCUUGUUAAAUUGAAGAAGAUGAAAGAGAUGAACAGUUCCUCAAAUUAAGCUCAAACCUCGCCAAAAUGGGUCCUGCUUUCUGCGCCGACAUUGGCUGCAGCAUUGGUGUUAGCGUUGGUCUUGUUGGAGGCGCACAAACGAGCAAAAUAAACAAAACCCUUGAUGGGUUCUUUUGAAUUAUGGCUUAUGGUCCAACUUUGACUGCGAGUAUGGCAUUUGUAAGAGCGGUUUCACAGACUGGGAUGUCUCUUUCUACCAUUAAGCAUAGACCACGGGCUUUAACUGGUGAUUAGCCAUAUAUAUAUAUACUAUGGGGACUAUACAACAACAAGGUUUUAUAUGCAGCGCCGUUAGAGGGUUGUGCCUGAUGGUCCUUAAGAUACCUGAUGAUCCUUAAGAUACCUGAUGAUCUUCCAAUCACCAUGAAGCUGGUGUUGAAGGACAAGGCUGUUUCCAAGACUGGUCGUCACUAGCAUGCGUCACUUUGAGAGCAAAUAUAGCAGCUGUUUCAUGGAUGGGGGUGUCUCCAACAAUAGUUGUUUAUAUUAAAGAUGUGGUUUUCCCUCUGAUGCAUUUUUAAGGGAGAAUGAUCUGAUGGCCUAUGUACAGAUGGGAAUUGAAGAUGAUUUUUGUUGGUAGAUUUUUUUUUUUUGAAUGAUUGGAAAGUAUUAAUUAUUGUUCAUAGUUAAUUUUCCAAUCAUUUAGGUAUUGUAUAUGACGUAAAGAGGUAUAGUAUAUGACGUAAAGUGGUAUUAUAUAUGAUGUAAAGAAUUAUGGCUGCAAUUUCCUCCAUUCUGCUUCCUUUUACUAACCCUUCAUCUUUUUUUUUUUUUUCUCUAUUUCAGUA
Pistacia vera is the source of this 1241-nucleotide long non-coding RNA. RefSeq lists it as uncharacterized. The transcript has 3 exons. Lineage: Eukaryota; Viridiplantae; Streptophyta; Magnoliopsida; Sapindales; Anacardiaceae. The record is from RefSeq and is a predicted model, not a curated record.